Molecule: ribosomal RNA, 465 nt
Filed under: uncultured Desulfuromonas sp.
Lineage: Bacteria; Pseudomonadati; Thermodesulfobacteriota; Desulfuromonadia; Desulfuromonadales; Desulfuromonadaceae
Description: bacterial SSU rRNA
Rfam family: Bacterial small subunit ribosomal RNA
Source: RNAcentral
CCCGCACAAGCGGUGGAGCAUGUGGUUUAAUUCGACGCAACGCGAAGAACCUUACCUGGGCUUGACAUCCCGAUCGUACCUGCUGGAAACAGCGGGGUCAGUUCGGCUGGAUCGGAGACAGGUGCUGCAUGGCUGUCGUCAGCUCGUGUCGUGAGAUGUUGGGUUAAGUCCCGCAACGAGCGCAACCCUUGUCCUUAGUUGCCAUCAUUUAGUUGGGCACUCUAAGGAGACUGCCGGUGUUAAACCGGAGGAAGGUGGGAUGACGUCAAGUCCUCAUGGCCCUUAUGUCCAGGGCUACACACGUGCUACAAUGGCCGGUACAGAGGGCAGCUACCUGGUGACAGGAUGCUAAUCUCGAAAACCGGUCUCAGUUCGGAUCGAAGUCUGCAACUCGACUUCGUGAAGCUGGAUUCGCUAGUAAUCGCGCAUCAGCUAUGGCCGCGGUCGAAUACGUUCCCGGGCCUU